UACGUAGGGUGCAAGCGUUGUCCGGAUUUAUUGGGCGUAAAGAGCGUGUAGGCGGCUAGAUAGGUCCGUUGUGAAAACUCGAGGCUCAACCUCGAGACGUCGAUGGAAACCAUCUGGCUAGAGUCCGGAAGAGGAGAGUGGAAUUCCUGGUGUAGCGGUGGAAUGCGCAGAUAUCAGGAAGAACACCCGUGGCGAAGGCGGCUUUUUGGUCUGUAACUGACGCUGAGGCGCGAAAGCGUGGGGAGCAAACAGGG
RNAcentral lists this ribosomal RNA (254 nucleotides) under uncultured bacterium. Its description in RNAcentral is "partial 16S ribosomal RNA". It matches the Rfam family "Bacterial small subunit ribosomal RNA", at positions 524 to 777 of the family's 1533-position model. The record is from RNAcentral.